GACGAACGCUGGCGGCGUGCUUAACACAUGCAAGUCGAACGGAAAGGCCCUGCUUUUGUGGGGUGCUCGAGUGGCGAACGGGUGAGUAACACGUGAGUAACCUGCCCUUGACUUUGGGAUAACUUCGGGAAACUGGGGCUAAUACCGGAUAGGAGCUCCUGCUGCAUGGUGGGGGUGGAAAGUUUCGGCGGUUGGGGAUGGACUCGCGGCUUAUCAGCUUGUUGGUGGGGUAGUGGCUUACCAAGGCUUUGACGGGUAGCCGGCCUGAGAGGGUGACCGGCCACAUUGGGACUGAGAUACGGCCCAGACUCCUACGGGAGGCAGCAGUGGGGAAUAUUGCACAAUGGGCGGAAGCCUGAUGCAGCAACGCCGCGUGCGGGAUGACGGCCUUCGGGUUGUAAACCGCUUUCGCCUGUGACGAAGCGUGAGUGACGGUAAUGGGUAAAGAAGCACCGGCUAACUACGUG
This 467-nucleotide ribosomal RNA is filed under the name uncultured bacterium. Its description in RNAcentral is "partial 16S ribosomal RNA". It matches the Rfam family "Bacterial small subunit ribosomal RNA", at positions 28 to 507 of the family's 1533-position model. The record is from RNAcentral.